ACAUUCCCUGUUAAGGAUGUUGUUUUGCCUACACUUGCCCAAAAUGAUUGCUUAUAAGCUGUGGAAGGAACAACCAACCAUGAGCGAUGCACUCAAAUGGUACAACGAGUAGGAAAGAGAGGGAGGACUCUUGGACUGUCAUGGACUGUCAAUGAUGCUGAAAGCCUUUCAGACUGGGUACAAUCUCACACAGCUGUGGUGAUAAACAUCAUAUUCCACCACAAAAGAGUGUGCCAAGAGACUGUCGGAGGCCAGCAACCUUUGACUGAAGAGAGUUUGUUAAAAGAGCUAAAUGUCACUGAAAAUGUGCUGUUAAUCCUACUCAUCAACAGAUGUUAGCCACGAAGUGAUAAUAAAGAGAAAAAAGAAAAGACGU
This is a long non-coding RNA of Passer domesticus (house sparrow), 376 nucleotides long. RefSeq lists it as uncharacterized. The record is from RefSeq and is a predicted model, not a curated record. NCBI's taxonomy places the organism in Eukaryota, Metazoa, Chordata, Aves, Passeriformes, Passeridae. The transcript has 3 exons.